AUUUGUUUGAAAUGUGAAUAUGGUGGUCUAACGUGGGCUUCUUAGGCCUGCUGCUAUGCUUCCCUUUCAGAGUAACCCAACCACUACCACAUCCCGGCUGCUUGCCAGGAGAAUCAGAACAAAAUCGCCAAUAACAUACUGCUUCGCUGAUGCAAAGGUCCUGGAUUUGGUCCAACCAAUCCCGGCUCUCGUGCGUAAACAUCCUCAUGUCACGAACAUCAUGAUCCAUGUCAGCACCAACAACACCUCCAAGCAGCAGUCACAGGUAUUGAAGUGUGAUUUUAAUAGUUCUCAAAGACUGCAAAAAAAUCUGUUUUUAUCUGCAGCCAAUCCCUUCCUUCAAUCAAGGGAUAAUUUCUGUCUCUUGUUUGCAGACUCAAUCAGCUGCUGUUUUGUUUUUGCCUUUUUAGAUCCUGUUGUUGUUGUCUUUUAGAGUUUUUUUUGUUUUGUUCUGUUAGCAUUUUAGUGAUUGUGAUUAAAGAGACAUUUUAGCAGAACCAAUUGGGUUUUUUACAUAGUUUUCAGCUUUUCUUUUGUAUAACUCUUUCUUUAUCAUCUCCUACAGUGCGGUGAUGGCUGGCUAGCAGUGGAGGCUAGGUACGUUGGGUGGUUCCCCACACCUUUUUGUUGCAGUGGUAGGCGCAUUGGGGAACCAUAGUCUACACCGGUUUGCAGUGUUUGUAGUGAUUUGCAAUGAGUUCACGUGUGGUGGGUAAGUGC
Molecule: non-coding RNA, 720 nt
Organism: Xyrichtys novacula (pearly razorfish)
Lineage: Eukaryota; Metazoa; Chordata; Actinopteri; Labriformes; Labridae
Source: the annotation of a GenBank genome assembly